Molecule: long non-coding RNA, 1212 nt
Filed under: Panicum hallii
Lineage: Eukaryota; Viridiplantae; Streptophyta; Magnoliopsida; Poales; Poaceae
Description: long non-coding RNA (PHAL_LNC000661)
Source: RNAcentral
GUCCUUGACGUCCGAUUGUUUGAGGCAAAAGCCGCACGGCUGAAAAAGCGGCUACGAGGGUGGCGGGGAGCGCGCGCAGGAAAUCAAGCGCGUAUACCUCCCGCACGGGCGCGCGGGCCAUCCCUACAGCGCGCUAAAUCGAGAGAGUGGGAGGGAAAGAAAGGAGAGAGGGGAAGAGAAGAGGGCGGCGGCAGCACCUAGAAUCCGGCGGCGCGCCGCCUCCAUCCAGCCACCGUUGCUCCUUCCACACCGCCGAUUCGAGGCUCCUGCUGCUCCACGGCCUCCGACCUCCGCUCCGCCGAUUCGCCCCUCCGAUUGGACCUCUGCAUCACCGAUUCGUCCCUCCAAUUGGACCUCCACCCGUCGAUCCGCACCUCCGACCUCUGCCCCCAUCAAUUCGUGGCUGCUUCCUCUACUCCGCCUCCCUGCUAGCGUCCUUCACGUCGGCUCACAGGCAGUUCCACUCUUCUCUCCCAUCGUUUUCUCUUCCUUCACCUUCUUCCUCUGCUCUGAAUCUCUUGGACUUGGAUAUACUGUGGUUGUGCUUGUGCUUACCGCUUGCCUCUAGCUAGUGGUGCUGGUUGUUUGUGCUAGCCUGCUAGGUGUUGAUGGUCACUCCAGUGCUGCUCUGUUCUGCUUGCUAUAUAGUCAUAAGCAUGCUACAUGGAUCAAGACAGCAAGCGAAGCUGGAAAGAGGAGGAUCACUGGUACAUAUGCUCCAGAAUUGGUAGCAAAAAGGUAUGCAUCAGUGUGUUUUUGUGCUGCUCCAUUGUGGGUUAGGAUAUGAAUAUGGCGUCGCCUUGACGCGCCGACGUCUGGAAGGGCUCGCUUGCCGCCUUAAAAACUUCCUUAAGAUCAUUAUCAUUAAUCACCAAAUGGAGUACUGGUUGUGAUAUCGAAUCCGACAUCAUUGAUCCAUGACUUAUGAGAUGGCUGGAAGAGUUGUGCUUGUGCUGCUCAAUUUAUUUGGCUUGUGUGUGGCUGGACAACAUUAAAUCCUUGUAUUGUAAUGUUUAUCUGGCUUGUGCGAAAGUGGGACUUUGAACUGCAGUAUUGCACAAUAUUUGGCUGUAAUCUUUGAACUAUUUCACUGGUUGUUAGGGACCUAAUGGAGUACUGGUUGUGAACUUUGAACUAUGUUUUUUGUUUAAAUUGUAUUGUGGUUGUCAAAUUGCUGUUUUACUCAUUCAUAUGAACCUAUUGGUAUAUUUU